AUGAGCCUUGACAAAACUGUGGACAGCAUACUGCUAAGCCUCACAUUGUUCAGCCUUCUGAUUUUCCUUGGAAGUUUGCUGAUAUGUGCGUGUAGAAGGUAUAGAUUCCUGGAAGUUAUAACCAUGCCCUUUCCAGCUCCUACAGAUAAAGUUACAACGUGGUUAGCUACAGAUGAGACUCACCAUCAGAAACAAAAUUCAGUGCAAAUGGAGAUGCAGUCAGAGGUCAUACUGAGAAUAUCAGAAGAUAAUGGAGAUGAGGACAUUCAACAACAUACACAUUUGAAAGAAUCUGAAGACCUGAAUUAAUGCCUCCUUAGAGGAACUUGGUCAAAGCAGGGACUAGACAGGCAAAAGAGUAAUGCAUGUGUGUCAGACUGGAGUUUCCAAGACUUGCUGAAAUUUUAAUAGAUCUUCCUGGCAUGUGUAAUGGAUAAAUGAGUGAAAGAAGCUAACCCAAGAAAAGUGAACAGACAGAUCAAAACUGGUACCACAUCAUCUGGCUGGGGACUUUGCUAAUGUGACAAAACUGAUAAGAGUCUAUAGCAGCAUAUAGAUGUCCAGGUAAUACAGGAGGAAAUACAUUCUAGUGCUACCUCUUGUGUAACAGCCUCCUCACCCACUUUUCUCUGCCACAGAAGGCCCGCUACUUCUGCCUCUGAUGUGCGGACAGAGGUGGCUAAUGUCAUGUGAGGUGCACCAAGCAUGCGGAGUGACAGGAGCAGGUCUUAUUAGUAAGUGGGGAGGAGGCAGGC
Molecule: long non-coding RNA, 755 nt
Filed under: Pavo cristatus (Indian peafowl)
Lineage: Eukaryota; Metazoa; Chordata; Aves; Galliformes; Phasianidae
Description: lncRNA (ENSPSTG00000009419.1)
Source: RNAcentral